Non-coding RNA from Pelobates cultripes (western spadefoot toad), 205 nucleotides. The record is from the annotation of a GenBank genome assembly. NCBI's taxonomy places the organism in Eukaryota, Metazoa, Chordata, Amphibia, Anura, Pelobatidae.
UGUAACUGCAUGCACUGGCGUACAUACCGUGGUCAAAGGGGUCGCAGCCCUGUGACCCCUGCGACCAGGUGCCCGCCGCCAUGUGUUGCGGCCCUAGCCCGCGCAGAGUAAGCACGCGGGGGGAGAUGGGGGCCCACGGAUCAGUUUUCGCACCGGGGCCCCAUGGGUUGUGUGUACGCCACUGCAUGGGAAAACAGACACUGGG